CUGGCAUAUGGGGUAUCAUUCCAAGCAGGAUGCCGGUGCGGACUCCUUUAAAGCACCCUAAGCCCCAAAGGAUAAGUUACAGGUGGCCUGUCUUUCGGCAGCCUGUUCCCGACAAUUAAAGAAAGAAUAAGCAUGUAGAAAGCAUAUUGAUGGUUUGGUUGGACGGCGGUUCGAGUCCGCCCAUCUCCACUG
RNAcentral lists this transfer-messenger RNA (192 nucleotides) under Bacteroidales bacterium. RNAcentral's name for it is "partial transfer-messenger RNA". It matches the Rfam family "transfer-messenger RNA", at positions 169 to 374 of the family's 374-position model. Rfam says of the family: Bacterial tmRNA, also known as 10Sa RNA or SsrA, is named for its dual tRNA and mRNA-like properties. Lineage: Bacteria; Pseudomonadati; Bacteroidota; Bacteroidia; Bacteroidales. The record is from RNAcentral.